AUAAUCGAUCAUCGUUCACGAUAAUCGAUUAACUAACGGCCAGAUUUCAAAAUUUUACCGUUUUAGAGCCGUUUGAACCUUAUCAAAUCAGAUUUUUUCACUCAAAACACUCUCAUUUUUCACCUCUAUAAAUAGGGAAGUCUUCCACUCAAUUUAUUCAAUCACAACUCUAUUCUAUUCAUCUUAUCAAAUCAGAUUUUUUUCACUCAAAAACUCUCUUUUUUUUACCUCUAAAAAUAGGGAAGUCUUCCACUCAAUUUAUUCACUCACAACUCUAUUCUAUCCACAAAACUCUCUCCAAAAGCUUCAAGAAGUCUUCAAAAUUCUCUUUAGCUUCCUGUUAUUAUUCACAUGGCCAAUAGAAAUACCAAGCGAUCUCGUGCCGGAAAGAACGUUGCUUCUUCUUCAAAUGUCCCUCAAGAUGUAUUUUGCUACCAAGAUG
RNAcentral lists this long non-coding RNA (442 nucleotides) under Nicotiana benthamiana. Its description in RNAcentral is "long non-coding RNA (NBEN_LNC037880)". Lineage: Eukaryota; Viridiplantae; Streptophyta; Magnoliopsida; Solanales; Solanaceae. The record is from RNAcentral.